GACGAACGCUGGCGGCGUGCUUAACACAUGCAAGUCGAACGGAAAGGCCCUGCUUGCAGGGUACUCGAGUGGCGAACGGGUGAGUAACACGUGGGUGAUCUGCCCUGCACUUCGGGAUAAGCCUGGGAAACUGGGUCUAAUACCGGAUAGGAGCCAUUUUUAGUGUGAUGGUUGGAAAGUUUUUUCGGUGUAGGAUGAGCUCGCGGCCUAUCAGCUUGUUGGUGGGGUAAUGGCCUACCAAGGCGGCGACGGGUAGCCGGCCUGGGAGGGUGGACGGCCACAUUGGGACUGGGGUACGGCCCAGACUCCUACGGGAGGCAGCAGUGGGGAAUAUUGCACAAUGGGCGGAAGCCUGAUGCAGCGACGCCGCGUGGGGGAUGACGGCCUUCGGGUUGUAAACUCCUUUCGCUAGGGACGAAGCUUUUUGUGACGGUACCUAGAAAAGAAGCACCGGCUAACUACGUG
This 465-nucleotide ribosomal RNA is filed under the name uncultured bacterium. RNAcentral's name for it is "partial 16S ribosomal RNA". It matches the Rfam family "Bacterial small subunit ribosomal RNA", at positions 28 to 507 of the family's 1533-position model. The record is from RNAcentral.